UACGUAGGGUGCGAGCGUUGUCCGGAAUUAUUGGGCGUAAAGGGCUCGUAGGCGGUCUGUCGCGUCGAAAGUGAAAACCCAGGGCUUAACCCUGGGCCUGCUUCCGAUACGGGCAGACUAGAGGUAUGCAGGGGAGACUGGAAUUCCUGGUGUAGCGGUGAAAUGCGCAGAUAUCAGGAGGAACACCGAUGGCGAAGGCAGGUCUCUGGGCCGAUACUGACGCUGAGGAGCGAAAGCGUGGGGAGCGAACAGG
RNAcentral lists this ribosomal RNA (253 nucleotides) under uncultured bacterium. RNAcentral's name for it is "partial 16S ribosomal RNA". It matches the Rfam family "Bacterial small subunit ribosomal RNA", at positions 524 to 776 of the family's 1533-position model. The record is from RNAcentral.